AUGGACACGGCGGCCAUGGCGGGCGCCAUGAGGGACCUGGCCGCCCUCUCCAUGCGGUUCCUCCUCCACCUCAGCGGCAACCAAACCAACCUGGCUUUCUCCCCGCUGUCGUUCUACUACGUCCUCGUCCUUCUCGCUGCCGGUGCCACGGGCGACACCCUCAACCAGAUCGUCUCCUUCCUAGGCCCCUCCGGCGGCAUGGCGCAUGCAUCCCUCGCCACCCAUGCAGCCUCUGCUUUCCUCGCUCGGGGCAAUGGCUCGGAGCCCGACGUGCGGUGCGGGGUAGGCGUUUGGGUGGAUUCGUCGCUCCAGCUUAGGCCUGCUUUCGCAGACAUGGUCGCCUCCCGGUACAAUGCCACAGCUCAAGCCAUGCCUUUCCAAGAAAAGCCUGACGAGGCGAGAGUUGAGAUCAACCGCUGGUUCGAGGACAAGACAGGCGGCCUGAUCAAAGAACUCAUGCCGGAGGGCCACCUCGACAGCGACACCGCCCUGGUCAUCGGCACCGCGCUCUACCUGAGAGGCUCAUGGCUGCGCCCGUUCGAUCGCGAAGACACAGUGGACGGCGACUUCUUCUUGGCCAACGGGAGCAGUGUGCGCGUGCCGUUCAUGACGAGCGGAAACCGCCAGCGCAUCAGCUCCCAUGCAGGCUUCAAAGUACUGCAGCUGCCCUACGAUUCCGGCAGGGUUGGCGGCAGGCAGAGCUUCAGCAUGCACAUCUAUCUCCCUGACGAGCGCGACGGGCUGCAGGCGCUGAUCCGCGAGCUCAGCUCCGACACGGCCGGGUUCCUGAACCGCAGCGCCCCCGCGCAGGCGGUGGAAGUGGGGGACUUCAAGGUCCCCAAGUUCAAGGUGUCGCGCAAGGUGGACGUGUCGGAUCUGCUGAAGGAUAUGGGGCUGGAGCGACCGUUCUGCUUUUCACACGACUUCGCGGAGAUGGUUGACUACUCGGAACCUCUCGCGGUGCGUAGCGUGCUACACGAGUGCGUGGUUGAGGUCGACGAGGAUGGAACCAUGGCCGCGGCGGCCACCGAAGCUGACAUCAUGACGGGCUGCUCCAUCGGAUGGGAGGAGCCGGUGCGCGUCGACUUCGUUGCAGAUCACCCGUUCCUGUUCCUCAUCAGGGAGGACGAGAGUGGCAUAGUGCUUUUUGCAGGGCAAGUCGUCAACCCCGAGCUCUAG
RNAcentral lists this ribosomal RNA (1179 nucleotides) under Triticum aestivum (bread wheat). Its description in RNAcentral is "partial small subunit ribosomal RNA". The record is from RNAcentral. Lineage: Eukaryota; Viridiplantae; Streptophyta; Magnoliopsida; Poales; Poaceae.